RNAcentral lists this non-coding RNA (27 nucleotides) under Mus musculus (house mouse). Lineage: Eukaryota; Metazoa; Chordata; Mammalia; Rodentia; Muridae. The record is from RNAcentral.
UACAGUGAGCAUUUUACACCUCUUUAG